Molecule: ribosomal RNA, 983 nt
Filed under: Arthrobacter sp.
Lineage: Bacteria; Bacillati; Actinomycetota; Actinomycetes; Micrococcales; Micrococcaceae
Description: bacterial SSU rRNA
Rfam family: Bacterial small subunit ribosomal RNA
Source: RNAcentral
GGAGCAUGGUUCUUUACAGUUCGGAUAUUGGGCGUAAGAGCUCGUAGGCGGUUUGUCGCGUCUGCUGUGAAAGACCGGGGCUCAACUCCGGUUCUGCAGUGGGUACGGGCAGACUAGAGUGCAGUAGGGGAGACUGGAAUUCCUGGUGUAGCGGUGAAAUGCGCAGAUAUCAGGAGGAACACCGAUGGCGAAGGCAGGUCUCUGGGCUGUAACUGACGCUGAGGAGCGAAAGCAUGGGGAGCGAACAGGAUUAGAUACCCUGGUAGUCCAUGCCGUAAACGUUGGGCACUAGGUGUGGGGGACAUUCCACGUUUUCCGCGCCGUAGCUAACGCAUUAAGUGCCCCGCCUGGGGAGUACGGCCGCAAGGCUAAAACUCAAAGGAAUUGACGGGGGCCCGCACAAGCGGCGGAGCAUGCGGAUUAAUUCGAUGCAACGCGAAGAACCUUACCAAGGCUUGACAUGAACCGGUAAUACCUGGAAACAGGUGCCCCGCUUGCGGUCGGUUUACAGGUGGUGCAUGGUUGUCGUCAGCUCGUGUCGUGAGAUGUUGGGUUAAGUCCCGCAACGAGCGCAACCCUCGUUCUAUGUUGCCAGCGCGUUAUGGCGGGGACUCAUAGGAGACUGCCGGGGUCAACUCGGAGGAAGGUGGGGACGACGUCAAAUCAUCAUGCCCCUUAUGUCUUGGGCUUCACGCAUGCUACAAUGGCCGGUACAAAGGGUUGCGAUACUGUGAGGUGGAGCUAAUCCCAAAAAGCCGGAUCUCAGUUCGGAUUGGGGUCUGCAACUCGACCCCAUGAAGUCGGAGUCGCUAGUAAUCGCAGAUCAGCAACGCUGCGGUGAAUACGUUCCCGGGGCCUUGUACACACCGCCCGUCAAGUCACGAAAGUUGGUAACACCCGAAGCCGGUGGGCCUAACCCUUGUGGGGGGAGCCGUCGAAGUGGGACCGGCGAUUGGGACUAAGUCGUACCAAAGGUAAGCCAA